RNAcentral lists this ribosomal RNA (220 nucleotides) under uncultured eukaryote. Its description in RNAcentral is "partial 18S ribosomal RNA". It matches the Rfam family "Eukaryotic small subunit ribosomal RNA", at positions 1299 to 1458 of the family's 1831-position model. The record is from RNAcentral.
UGGUGGAGUGAUUUGUCUGGUUAAUUCCGAUAACGAACGAGACCUCAACUUAUUAACUAGUGGCGUCAAUCUUCUAUACGGGUGAAGCUAGGUUCCGGUCCCGGUACGCCUUAACGGGUGGCACUGGGCCGACCUAGUGGAUCCUUGAUGCUUUGACGCUUUAUCUACAACUUCUUAAAGGGACAAUUCAUGUUUAAUGGAUGGAAGUGAGGCAAUAACA